GUUGCCCCUGCCCGCCCAGCGCCGGGCGGAGCGGCGGCUGUAAACAAACCGGGCGAUGGCGGUGGUUGUGCGUUCUGCUGUGGGGCUGUGAGUGCCAGUGUGUGCCGGGGCCGGCGGCUCCGGGGUGCUCCCCGGGCAGGGCUGCGGCGGUACGGGCUCGGGGCUGGCGGCACACAUGGAUGACAGCAAGGUGGUUGGAGGCAAGGUAAAGAAACCAGGAAAGCGAGGUCGUAAACCAGCCAAGAUAGACUUGAAGGCAAAACUUGAAAGAAGUCGUCAGAGUGCAAGAGAGUGCAGAGCCAGGAAGAAGCUGAGGUACCAGUACCUGGAAGAGCUGGUUUCAAGCAGAGAACGAGCCAUCUGUGCUCUCAGAGAAGAGCUUGAGAUGUAUAAGCAGUGGUGCAUGGCGAUGGACCAAGGGAAAAUCCCCUCUGAAAUAAAAGCCCUGCUAACUGGAGAGGAGCAAGGCAAAGCACAGCAGAACUCAACGAAACUUGCCAAGACUGGGAAGACAGAAGCAAACAGCAACAAUCCCUAUGGGUACAGCAUUCCACCCAUUUCUCCUGCAGUGAGUGUGUGCAGCUGGUUCUCUCUCACAAACAUUGAAGAAAGGAAAUAAACCUGGAAAUGCUUCAUUUUCCCACUUGCCAUGGAAAUCUGAUGGUCAUCUAGAACUAUUUGCCCAGCUAAAGGGUAAAGAUAAAUCUAUGUAAAUAAUGAGUCUAGUUCUUCCUGGCAUCCCAUGAAGAGAUGGAGGAGAUUUGGCAUCAUAGUUCCAUUUCCUACUUUCCAAUAAAUUAUAAUCUCUAUAAUUAGCUAUGAAAUUACUAUUAAUAUAAGGACCAAAUGUGUGAGACUAGUCUAAAAAUGCAGAGAAAUCAAAGGAAAAGCUGAAAUAAGAGCCCUGGUCCUUCUCCUUAUGCUUACAAGAUACAGCAUGAGUGACAGAUGAUCAUCUGAUGUAGAAAUACCUUUUGUAGGUAAGCAAGGCAAAGCACCAGCCUGUGAGUGGCCUGCUCUUAGUGCUGCUGAGCAUUAAUUCCUGUGUAUGUUGUGUCAAUAACUGAAUUUCUUGUAUGGCUCCUGUGAAUUUGUAUGGGAAAACAGAAGCUUCUAAUCCUCAGUAAAAUCUGAGGUAUUGCAUACUGAAUAGCGCAUCAAUGGGCUAAAAUUCAACUGAUGCUGUACCCAUGGAAUGUAUAGAUUUGUAUAGGUGGAUAUACAAGUAGAAUUUGUAGUGUCAGUCACAGCGAUUGCCUUGAGCAAUUUCUGCAGAGACUGUUGCUUGAUAUUAUUUAUACCAUUAUUUGUAUUUUAUCUUCACAUUUUAACUAAAAAAUGCUGUAAUUGUUCAGCUAAUGGUUUUCAACAACACCUCAUUAAAACAAAAAACAAACCCA
Molecule: RNA transcript, 1400 nt
Organism: Neopsephotus bourkii (Bourke's parrot)
Lineage: Eukaryota; Metazoa; Chordata; Aves; Psittaciformes; Psittacidae
Gene: CREBL2
Gene name: cAMP responsive element binding protein like 2
Exons: 5
Source: RefSeq, a predicted model, not a curated record